RNAcentral lists this ribosomal RNA (92 nucleotides) under Neisseria meningitidis. RNAcentral's name for it is "partial 23S ribosomal RNA". It matches the Rfam family "Bacterial large subunit ribosomal RNA", at positions 2839 to 2925 of the family's 2925-position model. Lineage: Bacteria; Pseudomonadati; Pseudomonadota; Betaproteobacteria; Neisseriales; Neisseriaceae. The record is from RNAcentral.
UCGAGACCAGGACGUUGAUAGGUGGGGUGUGGAAGCGCGGUAACGCGUGAAGCUAACCCAUACUAAUUGCUCGUGAGGCUUGACUCUAUCAU